UGUGGGAGCUGGCUUGCCUGCGAUAGCGGUGGUGCAGUUGAUACCGCUAUCGCAGGCAAGCCAGCUCCCACA
RNAcentral lists this non-coding RNA (72 nucleotides) under Pseudomonas tolaasii NCPPB 2192. The record is from RNAcentral. Lineage: Bacteria; Pseudomonadati; Pseudomonadota; Gammaproteobacteria; Pseudomonadales; Pseudomonadaceae.